This is a long non-coding RNA of Passer domesticus (house sparrow), 502 nucleotides long. RefSeq lists it as uncharacterized. The transcript is spliced from 3 exons. NCBI's taxonomy places the organism in Eukaryota, Metazoa, Chordata, Aves, Passeriformes, Passeridae. The record is from RefSeq and is a predicted model, not a curated record.
GAGUGCACAGCUAGAAGCACUGUGCUCAGGCUCCAGAGAUUUACAGCAUAUGGGGUCCCAUAAAAUAUAAUGCUAAAAGAACUGUCUGGAGAGCAUCCAGUCAGGGAGGCAGCUCUUAUGAAGAUCUCUGCCUGGCACAAGCCAGAAUCAAACUGUGCAUACUAAUGUCAACAGAAUUUGUGGCACAUAUACUUCCCAUUGCCUGGAGCAACUAGUUGGCUGGCAAAGACAAAACAGAAUUACUUCUCUGAAAUGAGCUAUGUCCCUUUAAAUUGUGGAAUAAAUGCAUACUUCCAGUUGUUCUAUAAAGUGGCUGAAAGGUCUACAGAACUCAUUGGAGGUUAGAAAGAAAAGAUUUUACAAGUAUGUCUGGCCCUUCUCCACAGAGCACAGAUGCAAUGAGGAGAGAGGCUCUGUUGUCACCCAUCCAUGCAGUGCUUGAGUAAAAGCGUGCAGAAUAAACUGUCCUGUUGAGACACUAGAGAAAAGAGGUGGCCAAACU